RNAcentral lists this ribosomal RNA (253 nucleotides) under uncultured bacterium. RNAcentral's name for it is "partial 16S ribosomal RNA". It matches the Rfam family "Bacterial small subunit ribosomal RNA", at positions 524 to 776 of the family's 1533-position model. The record is from RNAcentral.
GACAGAGGGUGCAAACGUUGUUCGGAAUUACUGGGCGUAAAGCGCGUGUAGGCUGCUGCGAAAGUCAGGUGUGAAAGCCCCGGGCUCAACCUGGGAAGUGCACUUGAAACCUCGCAGUUCGAAUGCCGGAGAGGGUAGCGGAAUUCUCGGUGUAGAGGUGAAAUUCGUAGAUAUCGAGAGGAACACCGGUGGCGAAGGCGGCUACCUGGACGGCUAUUGACGCUGAGACGCGAAAGCGUGGGGAGCAAACAGG